Molecule: ribosomal RNA, 427 nt
Filed under: uncultured bacterium
Lineage: Bacteria
Description: partial 16S ribosomal RNA
Rfam family: Bacterial small subunit ribosomal RNA
Source: RNAcentral
GUGGGGAAUAUUGGGCAAUGGGGGCAACCCUGACCCAGCGACGCCGCGUGGGUGAAGAAAUCCCUCGGGAUGUAAAGCCCUGUUGUAUGGGAAGAGCAGAAGACGGUACCAUACGAGGAAGCCCCGGCAAACUACGUGCCAGCAGCCGCGGUAAUACGUAGGGGGCAAGCGUUGUCCGGAAUUACUGGGCGUAAAGCGCACGCAGGCUGAAUUAUAAGUCGGUAGUCAAAUACGGAGGCUCAACUUCCGGAUAUCUAUCGAUACUGUAAAUCUAGAGUAUGUGAGAGGGAAGCGGAAUUCCCGGUGUAGCGGUGAAAUGCGUAGAGAUUGGGAGGAACACCAGUGGCGAAGGCGACUUACUGGGCCGUAACUGACGUUGAAGCGCGAAAGCGUGGGGAGCGAACAGGAUUAGAUACCCGAGUAGUCC